Molecule: unclassified non-coding RNA, 1509 nt
Filed under: Ixodes scapularis (black-legged tick)
Lineage: Eukaryota; Metazoa; Arthropoda; Arachnida; Ixodida; Ixodidae
Description: uncharacterized LOC120845213, transcript variant X1
Source: RNAcentral
AUUGGAUUGCAACAUCUCUUGGACAAGCCAAUCAGCGAAGGCUCCGGAGAAAGCAGAGCUGGAUGACGGCUUUGAAAUGGGGUACCAGCAGGACAGCGAAAUGGUGCCUUCGUGACCGUUCGACUGUUUGCAGUUGGCAUUUCACUGAUAACUGAUCCAGGGCUAUUGCCUUCACCGAUAAAACGCCAGUACGUCACUCCCGUGACGUACAGGCAAUUUGGCAAUUUGGUGCCGUAGAGGCCUCCUGCGUUGAAGCUUCGAACAUAUCAUGGCGCCCUCCGGUGGUGGACGCUAGAGUGUCCGAAUAGUACAAGUCCCACGGCCCCGCACAAUGACAAACCUGUUCAGGUGGCUGUUUGCCUCUGCAAGCGGCUAUUAUUUGUGCGUUUGUGUGGUCACGACUCAAAAUGUGCCACCCACGUAGUCAUCACCACACAUCGUUACCCCGGAGACCCGAGCUCGCUGCAAGCUAGUAAUUCUUCCUUCGUCCAAGCACGUCGGGACCGGGAGCAAGAAGCGCAGCCAACGUCUCCAUCGAUGGUACUGUUGCAUUGUGAACUGUCAAAAACAAGAAGGGCUUAACCCCGGAGUAAACUUUUACAGAUUCCCAUUGAAACCGUGCAAAGUCGAGCGGAGGGAAUGAUACUAGCCGCCCAGCACACUGAGUAAGCUCGCCGUCCAGGUUGUUCUGCUAAACAUGGCCACUCAAUCAAGCGGCCGUGGCAGGCAUUGAAACGUGUGUCGUGCAAAUUUUACGAACAUGAAAACGCUAUACUGUCCGACCAGUGGAGUGAUCUGAUUAAACCACAUGUUUUGCAAUACGAGAUCAGCAAUAAAAGAGCUCGAGAAGCAGCAUGCAGUGGGAACCCCUUGCUCGAUUGACAGACGGCCGGUCGCCGCUCGAUCGCUUGCGUCUGCUUUUGAGCGUUUUUGAGGUUGGUCAUCAGCUGAUCAUGUUGGCUGUAUGGUGCGACUGCAGUUUGGGAGUUUUUGCUUACAGUUACAAGGCACAUUGCUGUAUCUCAUAUUGCUUGCCUCAAGCUCGACAUCAUAGGAAGCUCGCUGUUCUUCCAAGUGACAGCGCUUCUACACCAUAUUUACGGCUUCUUGUACGGUAUAGACGCAGCUUGCAGUAGCAUGCAUUGCUGAGUUUCUUCUCUUUAGGAAGUGUUGAGGAGUGUAAGAAGCUUUCCACGUUAGAAGUUGGCUUGAUUCCGCGCCGUAAAACAAUCACAAAGGGAAAAAAUUCAUACUGCCGGCUAACGUUUUCACGCGGGACAAAUUCAAAUGCGCAAGUUCGUACUAACCAAUAUCAAUAAACAAAUCGUAGAAGGCGUUACAAGCCAGUGUUUCCCAGUGCCGUAUAUGUAGAGAGUUUGGCCAUUUGUUGGGAAGUAUAGGAGACAAACAAGGAGACGCCAUUGGCCGAAAGAAGGCUGGGCAUGUUCCAGGGCAUCUUCACAAACUCGAAUGUGGCCAUUCAGGAGCCGGAAAUAAUACCCUGGUGGU